Molecule: ribosomal RNA, 443 nt
Filed under: uncultured prokaryote
Description: bacterial SSU rRNA
Rfam family: Bacterial small subunit ribosomal RNA
Source: RNAcentral
UGGGGAAUUUUCCGCAAUGGGCGCAAGCCUGAACCAGCCAUGCCGCGUGCAGGAUGACGGCCUUAUGGGUUGUAAACUGCUUUUAUACGGGAAGAAAAAGGCCUUGCGAGGCAAAUUGCCGGUACCGUAUGAAUAAGCACCGGCUAACUCCGUGCCAGCAGCCGCGGUAAUACGGAGGGUGCAAGCGUUGUCCGGAUUUAUUGGGUUUAAAGGGUACGUAGGCGGAUUUUUAAGUCCGUGGUGAAAGCCUGCAGCUUAACUGUAGAACUGCCAUGGAUACUGGAAAUCUUGAAUUCAGUUGAGGUAAGCGGAAUUUAUGAUGUAGCGGUGAAAUGCAUAGAUAUCAUAAAGAACACCUAUUGCGAAGGCAGCUUGCUGGACUUGAAUUGACGCUAAGGUACGAAAGCGUGGGGAGCGAACAGGAUUAGAUACCCCCGUAGUCC